AACAUUUUUGGAACAAUUUUACUUCAUACAAAAUUAAAAAUACACUACUUGUAUAACAGACUUUGAAACGUAAUCUUCGCAAAAUAAGAACGAACAUUAUAUCAUGUUUUGUCUUUUGACUGAGGAGAACAUUUGAAAUGAAAAAAAUUACGCCAAAAUGUGCCUUUUUAAAACUAAAAUGAAACGUUUUAGAAUAUUGUUCCUACAAAUUGUAGUGCGACAAAAUUUCCAACUAGAAAAGUAAAACGAACACUUUUAAAACAAAAAUGAAAAUUUCGUUUCAGUUAAAUAAACAUGAGAGUGGUUUAAAACGAAAACGUUUAGUAUUAGACUUUUCAAAGCAACUUAUAAAACUGAAAUACUUUUCAUCUGUUUGCAUUAUUUAUCGGAAAAAUUUUGUGCAGAUGAUUCAAGCUACAUUCAUACAUACAUAGCAAAAGAUGCGGAAAUAUGAUAUCGUUACGCCACUUAAUGAAAGGAACGUUGCUGAUACGAUACCCAUUUUUGAUUAGAGAAAAGCUUUGGAUCUAACCAGCGUUAAUCAAAAUUAUCAAGGCCCGUGGAGGAAAAGCCAGAAUAUGUACAUAUCUUUCAGUUAUUAAGCUUUGUAACUAAUUAAUACAUAUGUAAGUAUGUCUACAUAUGUACAUAUAUCAAUAAAUGUAUGACAAUGUAUAGUUUUAAAUAUCGAA
Rhagoletis pomonella (apple maggot) is the source of this 692-nucleotide long non-coding RNA. RefSeq lists it as uncharacterized. The transcript is spliced from 2 exons. NCBI's taxonomy places the organism in Eukaryota, Metazoa, Arthropoda, Insecta, Diptera, Tephritidae. The record is from RefSeq and is a predicted model, not a curated record.